UACAAAGUGGUUAUGAUUAUGAAUGAAAAUCAGAUCUUAUUGAUUGACUUCAAAACAAACAAGGACUAGACAAAGUAUAUAAUAUCGUGUACACAAAUGCUACAGUCCCCAUAAAUAGUGGUUAAUAAUUGGCAAAAAAUACUGAAAGCAAAUUAAAACAUAAUUCUGUAUCUUGGAAAAAUGUAAUCUCAAACAAAUACAAUUUAGUAUGUUGCACGUUAUUAGAAGAAAAAAAUAAAUAUUUGGAAUUUGUGUACACAAGUUGAAGUCAGUGGCAUUAAUUUGAACAGUAGCACAAAUAGAGCUAUUAGGUUAUUAAACGACGCUUCCGUAGUAUGUGCACUGAGAUGGCGUACAACCUGAUAACCCUAACCUGGUACACAUACUAUGUUCAGGCUGUGUGCCAUCUUGGUGCACAUGCUGGGACGGGAUGCACACACGGGAGCACCUAUUAAACAUAUAAAGGUAUUCAAUCUCAGCGAUUGUGUGAUCUCAGUGAUUUUAGGUAGGGUUAGGAACUGAAUUUUAUGAGAAUGUCUUCAAGACACGAAAAUGGAAAUCACAAAAGUAAGUGAGAUUGCAUACUAGUAGCAAGUCGAAAUGAUAAAAUAUUUGUGGAAGUAAAGGAUCAGACCAGGAGAAUGCACUCUUUCAAAUGUUUGUGUA
Molecule: non-coding RNA, 666 nt
Organism: Styela clava
Lineage: Eukaryota; Metazoa; Chordata; Ascidiacea; Stolidobranchia; Styelidae
Source: RefSeq, a predicted model, not a curated record